RNAcentral lists this long non-coding RNA (1429 nucleotides) under Olea europaea (common olive). Its description in RNAcentral is "long non-coding RNA (OEUR_LNC014799)". Lineage: Eukaryota; Viridiplantae; Streptophyta; Magnoliopsida; Lamiales; Oleaceae. The record is from RNAcentral.
GAAGAGAGGGUGACGAAGGCGGGAGAGCCAACCGGGGAGGAAGAGAAGGUGAUAGGGAGGGGAGAGCCGAUCAGGGAGAAAGAGAGGGUGACGGAGGCGAUGGGCUCGAUGGGACAGGAGAGCCAGGAAAAGAGGAGGAGGUGAUGGAGGAGACGAUCCCCGGGGGUAAGAAGUGUGUUGUUGACUUCACGGUGCAGGCGAUCGGCAAGAGGCCGAGAUUGCCGUAGCAGUACAUGGUUUCUCCCUUCAUGGUCGACAUGAAGAGGAUGAGGUUCAUCGAUGGGACGAUUCCGAACCUAUUUCGGGAGGUGGACCAUGCCAAAUGGAAAACGCUCCAGACGGAGUGGAGAGGAAUUUUAUUUGGGUAAGUAUUCAUGAUAUUAGUAAAGUAUGUUGCGUUACUCGUAUCGCUUAUUUAACAUUUUUAUUUUUCUUUUGUCAGGACCAGCCGCACGACUGGUCAAACGACCAUCUCCGAUGCUUAUAAGUGGUUCCACGACAUCAUCACUCCAGGAGCUUGGCUUGCCGACGAUGUAAGUGAAGUAGUCAUAAUGUUAUUUUUUAUGUGUAUAUAAUUUUUUAUUUAUGCAAUGAAAUAACUCCUUUUUAUAUUGGUGUUCUUAAUGCAGCACAUCGACCUAGCCAUGGACUUUUUGCGUGAUCGGGUUCAAAGAUAUCUGAGGUCAUUUGACAGUCUUGGCUGAGUCAUACUGAAUUUGGAGUUCAGCUGAAGCAUUGACAUUGAGUACUAGUCGCUACAAUGUGCUGGUACGAAGUACGUGGUGCCUGACUAUAUGCUCGAGUGGACCAUAUGGAUGUGGCCACAUGUUGGGAGGAAGCCAUGGGAGGGUUGUACGCAUAUGUACAUACCAGUGAUCUUGAAUUCGCACUGCAUAGCUUUGGAGAUUGUGCUGGCCAAGUCUACUGUAUAUGUGUAUGACCCCGAUCAUUUAUGUCUGACACAGAGUUAGUUCGAGCAAAAUCUGGAGUCCAUCGCUGUUUUAGUCCCUAUGAUGGUUAGAUGACCCGGGCUUGACUCUGAACGAUAGAUUAGCCAUCAUGCCCAGGCUAGGCAGACAAUAUCGUAAGUGGUUCUACAUAUUUGUAAAUUUAAUACUUAAUUUUUUCUAUAUGAUAAAGAUCUAACUUAUUAUUGUUCAAUUGCAGGGGCGAUUGCGGCAAGUUUGCAAUAAAAUAUAUUGAGUUUUUGACUACCUAGGUUGAUGGAAUCAACUAAUCCUGAAUGCAAAUUUGGAGAAAUAAGUUAGCGUGCGAUUUGCACGACUUUAGUUGUGAUCUGUAAAUGCUGUAAAAAUUUGAUUUUUUUAAUUACGAAAUGUUUGUAAACACUUUGUAUAUUGAUUUGUACCUUGUGGAUGAAUGUAAUUGUAUAUUAUUUUCUAUAUUUGCUUCAUCUAUGAUAUUAAUA